GAUGAACGCUGGCGGCGUGCCUAAUACAUGCAAGUCGAGCGAACAGACGAGGAGCUUGCUCCUCUGACGUUAGCGGCGGACGGGUGAGUAACACGUGGAUAACCUACCUAUAAGACUGGGAUAACUUCGGGAAACCGGAGCUAAUACCGGAUAAUAUAUUGAACCGCAUGGUUCAAUAGCGAAAGACGGUUUUGCUGUCACUUAUAGAUGGAUCCGCGCCGCAUUAGCUAGUUGGUAAGGUAACGGCUUACCAAGGCAACGAUGCGUAGCCGACCUGAGAGGGUGAUCGGCCACACUGGAACUGAGACACGGUCCAGACUCCUACGGGAGGCAGCAGUAGGGAAUCUUCCGCGAUGGGCGAAAGCCUGACGGAGCAACGCCGCGUGAGUGAUGAAGGUCUUCGGAUCGUAAAACUCUGUUAUUAGGGAAGAACAAAUGUGUAAGUAACUAUGCACGUCUUGACGGUACCUAAUCAGAAAGCCACGGCUAACUACGU
RNAcentral lists this ribosomal RNA (496 nucleotides) under uncultured bacterium. RNAcentral describes it as "partial 16S ribosomal RNA". It matches the Rfam family "Bacterial small subunit ribosomal RNA", at positions 28 to 506 of the family's 1533-position model. The record is from RNAcentral.